UGAAAACAUAUGUUUAUAAUCAUGAAUAUGUGUUUACCUGUAUUUUAUUUGGAAGAAGCUUUUAUGAAGAGAGGAGAAAGUGCAGGUGGUAGUGAAGGUGGUGCUGCUGUUCUUAUGAUUCUGGUUUAGAGUCAGGCAAACGGGACACUGACAGCAUUUCAUCUGAGAAACCCAUGGACAUUCAGCCCGAGGCAUCGAAUGUGGAUGGACACGUCAACAGCGCUGCCAUCUUGGACCGGUGGUGGAAAAGGAAUCAGUGCAAGGACAUUACGACACAAAAAGGAAAUGGAUGUGACGUCUGCAGCUGUAUUCUGUAUGGGAACCUGUUUGACCCUGUCAGGAUACUCCUACUACCUGUACAGGAGAAGUCGAGCCACUGUUGAACAACUUGAUAA
RNAcentral lists this long non-coding RNA (395 nucleotides) under Gouania willdenowi (blunt-snouted clingfish). Its description in RNAcentral is "lncRNA (ENSGWIG00000010207.1)". Lineage: Eukaryota; Metazoa; Chordata; Actinopteri; Blenniiformes; Gobiesocidae. The record is from RNAcentral.